This 235-nucleotide ribosomal RNA is filed under the name uncultured Actinomycetales bacterium. RNAcentral's name for it is "partial 16S ribosomal RNA". It matches the Rfam family "Bacterial small subunit ribosomal RNA", at positions 96 to 334 of the family's 1533-position model. Lineage: Bacteria; Bacillati; Actinomycetota; Actinomycetes; Actinomycetales. The record is from RNAcentral.
UGGCGAACGGGUGAGUAACACGUGGGUGAUCUGCCCUGCACUUUGGGAUAAGCCUGGGAAACUGGGUCUAAUACCAGAUAGGACCAUGCUUUGGAUGGUGUGGUGGAAAGUUUUUUCGGUGUGGGAUGAGCUUGCGGCCUAUCAGCCUGUUGGUGGGGUAAUGGCCUACCAAGGCGUCGACGGGUAGCCGGCCUGAGAGGGUGUACGGCCACAUUGGGACUGAGAUACGGCCCAG